GUGCCAGCAGCCGCGGUAAUACGGAGGGGGUUAGCGUUGUUCGGAAUUACUGGGCGUAAAGCGCGCGUAGGCGGGUUGUUAAGUUAGAGGUGAAAUCCCGGGGCUCAACCCCGGAACUGCCUUUAAUACUGGCAACCUAGAGUUCGAGAGAGGUGAGUGGAAUUCCGAGUGUAGAGGUGAAAUUCGUAGAUAUUCGGAGGAACACCAGUGGCGAAGGCGGCUCACUGGCUCGAUACUGACGCUGAGGUGCGAAAGUGUGGGGAGCAAACAGGAUUAGAUACCCGCGUAGUCCC
RNAcentral lists this ribosomal RNA (293 nucleotides) under uncultured Shimia sp. RNAcentral's name for it is "partial 16S ribosomal RNA". It matches the Rfam family "Bacterial small subunit ribosomal RNA", at positions 505 to 797 of the family's 1533-position model. The record is from RNAcentral. Lineage: Bacteria; Pseudomonadati; Pseudomonadota; Alphaproteobacteria; Rhodobacterales; Roseobacteraceae.